GGAAUAUUGGACAAUGGGGGGAACCCUGAUCCAGCCAUGCCGCGUGUGUGAAGAAGGCCUUUUGGUUUUAAAGCACUUUAAGCGAGGAGGAGGAGCCCUUGGUUAAUACCCACGAUGCUUGGCCUUUACUCCCAGAAUAAGCACCGGCUACCUCUGUGCCAGCAGCCGCGGUAUUACAGAGGGUGCAAGCGUUAAUUGGUGUUACUGGGCGUAAAGCGCGCGGAGGGGGGCAAGUAAGUCAAAUGUGAAAUCCCCGAGCUUAACUUGGGAAUUGGAUUCGAUACUGGUUGGCUAGAGUAUGGGAGAGGAUGGUAGAAUUCCAGGUGGAGCGGUGAAAUGCGUAGAGAUCUGGAGGAAUACCGAUGGCGAAGGCAGCCAUCUGGCCUAAUACUGACACUGAGGUGCGAAAGCAUGGGGAGCAAACA
Molecule: ribosomal RNA, 425 nt
Filed under: uncultured bacterium
Lineage: Bacteria
Description: partial 16S ribosomal RNA
Rfam family: Bacterial small subunit ribosomal RNA
Source: RNAcentral